GUGGGGAAUUUUGGACAAUGGGGGAAACCCUGAUCCAGCGACGCCGCGUGAAGGAUGAAGGCCUUCGGGUUGUAAACUUCUUUUGGAGGGGACGAAUAAAUUGACGGUACCCUCAGAAAAAGCCACGGGUAACUACGUGCCAGCAGCCGCGGUAAUACGUAGGUGGCGAGCGUUACUCGGAAUUACUAGGCGUAAAGCGUAUGUAGGCGGUUGUAUAAGUCUAUGGUGAAAUUUCCUGGCUCAACUGGGAAGGGACAUAGAUACUGUAUGGCUUGAGUGUUGGAGGGGGAGACGGAAUUCCUGGUGUAGCGGUGAAAUGCGUAGAUAUCAGGAGGAACACCGAUGGCGAAAGCAGUCUCCUGGCCAAAUACUGACGCUGAGGUACGAAAGCUAGGGUAGCAAACAGGAUUAGAUACCCUAGUAGUCC
Molecule: ribosomal RNA, 427 nt
Filed under: uncultured bacterium
Lineage: Bacteria
Description: partial 16S ribosomal RNA
Rfam family: Bacterial small subunit ribosomal RNA
Source: RNAcentral